AGGGAAUAUAUUUUAAGUUUUUAGGUCAUCAGGCACCCACCUGGAGAACGAGGGAAUUUAUUUCAAGUUUUUAAUUCAUCAGGCACCCACCUGGAGAAUGAGGGAAUAUAUUUCAAGUUUUUAUGUCAUCAGGCGCCCACCUGGAGAACGAGGGAAUUCAUUUCAGUUUAAAGUCAUCAGGCGCCCACCUGGAGAACGAGGGAAGUCACUUAAGAAUUCAACCAAGUUAGAAGUAGCAAAAGUUCGCCUCGAGAAUGCGAGUUGACAGUCCGAGAUAACCAAAGGAAGAAGUCUCAAUCCAGAAUAAAAGGAAAAGGGUGAAUCCAAAAUGCAGAAGCCGAUGAAAGAUGUGAACUGCUCGAGACAUGGCUGAAGUCACAAGCUUUGCAUGUCCCGUCUUGAUCCGAAAAGCUGAAGAAGAGAGAACUAGCACUUGCAACUAGCAAACAUCAAGGUUUAAGUCAAAAGUCUGCAUGAAGAACCAUUCAAGACUCAAGAUCAAGCUUCAGAAGACUUAUAGAUAGGAAUCUUGUAACUCAUAGCUGACAGGCUUAGUUAGUCUUUUUUAUUUUUUUGAUUUUGAUGUAAUAACAGGAUCGCGGACCAGAACCUCGACGGAACGGCACCUCACUCGACUCUCUCAUCCUCUCCACACACUCCAUCCCUUCAUUCACCUCUUGAACUACACGCGACCUGAUUCCCUUAUAACCCGGGAUAUGUAGGUUGUCCAAAGUUAGGACUCGGUUGCACCUUUUCCCUUUUAUUUUCUUCCUCUUUUGAAUAACGUUGUGGUCAAAAAUUAGUCACACGGCUCACUUUGUCUUUGCCUGAA
RNAcentral lists this long non-coding RNA (832 nucleotides) under Nicotiana tabacum (common tobacco). Its description in RNAcentral is "long non-coding RNA (NTAB_LNC012606)". Lineage: Eukaryota; Viridiplantae; Streptophyta; Magnoliopsida; Solanales; Solanaceae. The record is from RNAcentral.